Non-coding RNA from Schistosoma curassoni, 45 nucleotides. NCBI's taxonomy places the organism in Eukaryota, Metazoa, Platyhelminthes, Trematoda, Strigeidida, Schistosomatidae. The record is from Rfam.
GUCCAGCUGACGAGUCCCGAAUAAGACGAAACGUGCAUCCUGGAU